GUACUUACCUGGCAGGGGAGAUAACAUGAUCAUGAAGGUGGUUUUCCAGGGUGAGCUUGUCCAUUGCACUCCGGAUGUGCUGACCCCUCCAAUUUCCCCAAAUGUGGGAAACUCAACUACAUAAUUUGUGGUAGUGGGAGACUGUGUUUGCACUCUCCCCUG
This 162-nucleotide small nuclear RNA is filed under the name Sorex araneus (European shrew). Its description in RNAcentral is "U1 spliceosomal RNA (ENSSARG00000015086.1)". It matches the Rfam family "U1 spliceosomal RNA". Rfam says of the family: U1 is a small nuclear RNA (snRNA) component of the spliceosome (involved in pre-mRNA splicing). Its 5' end forms complementary base pairs with the 5' splice junction, thus defining the 5' donor site of an intron. The record is from RNAcentral. Lineage: Eukaryota; Metazoa; Chordata; Mammalia; Eulipotyphla; Soricidae.